AUUGAACGCUGGCGGCAGGCCUAACACAUGCAAGUCGAGCGAGCGGCGGACGGGUGAGUAAUGUCUGGGAAUCUGCCUGGUAGUGGGGGAUAACGUCCGGAAACGGGCGCUAAUACCGCAUACUAUCAGAUGAGCCUAGGUCGGAUUAGCUAGUUGGUGGGGUAAAGGCCUACCAAGGCGACGAUCUGUAGCGGGUCUGAGAGGAUGAUCCGCCACACUGGGACUGAGACACGGCCCAGACUCCUACGGGAGGCAGCAGUGGGGAAUAUUGGACAAUGGGGGGAACCCUGAUCCAGCCAUGCCGCGUGUGUGAAGAAGGCCUUAUGGUUGUAAAGCACUUUAAGCGAGGAGGCGUUACUCGCAGAAUAAGCACCGGCUAACUCUGUGCCAGCAGCCGCGGUAAUAC
This 406-nucleotide ribosomal RNA is filed under the name uncultured bacterium. RNAcentral describes it as "partial 16S ribosomal RNA". It matches the Rfam family "Bacterial small subunit ribosomal RNA", at positions 30 to 526 of the family's 1533-position model. The record is from RNAcentral.